UUCAAAGCACACCUAUUUGAGCCCUUUUGUAUGAGAUAUGUCAGAAAGGUAUCUGCCAAAACUUACAUCUACUAAGUCUGUCUACUGAAUUGAGAAUUUUCUUUCUCUUUCUUUGACAAAUCCUGAGUGUCAUCUUGUAAUUACGUGUGAUUCCUUUUGGCCCCAACCAAGGCAGAGUUGCUGGGCUCCAUUAGUGAGCAAUCACUGAGGCACAAGGUGUAAAGACAUCAAAGUCAUUGUGUAACGAAGAUGCCAAAGCUUCUCCAGCAGGGUACAGCUUGUUCCUCGGAGGACUUUGGAGACUGGCAGCCAGUUUGGAAGAGGCUGAUUGAUGCCUCGGCCCGUUUGUGAACUCCUCAUCAGAUGGCCUGCAGGUUCCAUUGAAGUAUCUCAUGAGGGAGUCAACUUGUAUCCUCCAGCCACAUUUCAAAGCAGAAAUCCACAGAGAUGGGCAUAAUUGGCCCUAGACUACAGAGUAUGAAACUGGCAUUGGUGCAGACUGAGUUCUCCGCCUAAGGCCACAGUUACCAAGUGGUAGAGAUUAACCCUGGCUCCUGCUGACUCCAGGCUGUGCUAACCACAGGACUGAUGUCUCUGACUUCCCGUAAAAGAAAGCGUGUGUCUGUUGUCAGUGGCGACACCUUGAAGAAAAUGUUUCUCCGUCCACCAUCAGCCAUUAAUGGUGUCACCUCUUCAGGGAGAGUGAGGCCUCACUAGUUCCCUCUCUUUCCACAGCAGAGGGUUGAUAAGGCCAAUCUUACACAGAUCUUGUUCAGGAAGUCACAGCUGCUGAGGGUCAAAGGUACAGCAGCCAUGGCAUGCCCAGAAGUCAACAUUCCAUGCCACCACAAAGCCGCCAUGAAGCUACCAAGAAGCCAUCACCAAGCCACCACCACUUACGCUGGCUAUUACAUUCUUUCCGUCUUCCAUGAUGUUCCCUGAGCUUUGAAGGGGGUGAUACAGACAUCCCACUCGGGACUGGGCACUGAGCACUUUUCAAUGGACAAUCUUCUCAUGAGCAUGUCAAGCGUGCAAACCUUGAUGCCUCGUGACAUUUUUACUGGUUUCAGAGAAAUAAAACUCACUUCAAAUAGUAGAAGGUUUGCAAAGUGUAUUCCUUGUUUCAUCUGACUUUGCAAGUAGCUUUUUGCACACUAUUCCAGUCAGUGAGCAUGGGACAGCUCCCCAUUCUCUUAGACUCUGAUUUCUUCCCUCGGCAUCUCAGUGUUCAGCAUGUGAGUUUGGCGCAUGCUCUGCUGAACUCGUGCCUACAUAUUUGUCUUUCCUUUGAGAAACUAAGAGUGGUGUUUAUACCACUUUGCAUUUAGAGGAGGGAAUUGUUUCCCACUUGUUUGUUAUUAUUGUAUUGAAGCAAAACUGACUUCUGUGUGUUUCUCUCUCUCAUAAACUCACUGAUUAGUUUAGGAUGUAUUUUUGUAGAUUACUUGGGAUUUAGUUCUGUAGAUAAUAAUCAUGUCAUCUAAAAUAAAGACGGUUUGUUAAUUUCUGA
Apodemus sylvaticus (European woodmouse) is the source of this 1510-nucleotide long non-coding RNA. RefSeq lists it as uncharacterized. NCBI's taxonomy places the organism in Eukaryota, Metazoa, Chordata, Mammalia, Rodentia, Muridae. The transcript is spliced from 3 exons. The record is from RefSeq and is a predicted model, not a curated record.